RNAcentral lists this ribosomal RNA (482 nucleotides) under uncultured bacterium. RNAcentral's name for it is "partial 16S ribosomal RNA". It matches the Rfam family "Bacterial small subunit ribosomal RNA", at positions 28 to 507 of the family's 1533-position model. The record is from RNAcentral.
GAUGAACGCUAGCGGCAGGCCUAAUACAUGCAAGUCGGACGGGAUUCAGGAGCUUGCUUCUGAUGAGAGUGGCGCACGGGUGCGUAACACGUAUGUAACCUACCUUUAUCAGGGGGAUAGCCUCUCGAAAGAGAGAUUAAGCCCGCAUAAAAUCACAGCACAGCAUUGUGUAAUGAUCAAAUAUUUAUAGGAUAAAGAUGGGCAUGCGGAACAUUAGCUAGAUGGCGGGGUAACGGCCCACCAUGGCGACGAUGUUUAGGGGAUCUGAGAGGAUGGCCCCCCACACUGGUACUGAGACACGGACCAGACUCCUACGGGAGGCAGCAGUAAGGAAUAUUGGUCAAUGGGCGGAAGCCUGAACCAGCCAUGCCGCGUGCAGGAAGACGGCCCUACGGGUUGUAAACUGCUUUUAUACGGGAAUAAACCCAGAUACGUGUAUCUGGCUGAAUGUACUGUAAGAAUAAGGAUCGGCUAACCCCGAG